Molecule: ribosomal RNA, 109 nt
Filed under: Pelomedusa gehafie
Lineage: Eukaryota; Metazoa; Chordata; Testudines; Pelomedusidae
Description: partial 12S ribosomal RNA
Source: RNAcentral
AUAACCCACGAUCAACCUUACCACCCUUUGCCAUUCAGCCUAUAUACCGCCGUCUCAAGCUUACCUUAUGAAAGCUAAAAAGUAAGCAAAAUAGCUCCUACAGCUAGAA